RNAcentral lists this ribosomal RNA (378 nucleotides) under uncultured bacterium. RNAcentral's name for it is "bacterial SSU rRNA". It matches the Rfam family "Bacterial small subunit ribosomal RNA", at positions 524 to 898 of the family's 1533-position model. The record is from RNAcentral.
UACGUAGGGAGCAAGCGUUGUCCGGAUUUAUUGGGCGUAAAGAGCUCGUAGGCGGCUUAGAAAGUCAGAUGUGAAAACUCCAGGCUCAACCUGGAGACGCCAUUUGAUACUUCUAUGGCUUGAGUUCGGUAGGGGACCAUGGAAUUCCUGGUGUAGCGGUGAAAUGCGCAGAUAUCAGGAGGAACACCGAUGGCGAAGGCAGUGGUCUGGGCCGAUACUGACGCUGAGGAGCGAAAGCGUGGGGAGCGAACAGGAUUAGAUACCCUGGUAGUCCACGCCGUAAACGUUGGGCACUAGGUGUGGGAAGAAACCAACUCUUUCCGUGCCGUAGCUAACGCAUUAAGUGCCCCGCCUGGGGAGUACGGUCGCAAGACUAAA